This 789-nucleotide ribosomal RNA is filed under the name uncultured archaeon. RNAcentral describes it as "bacterial SSU rRNA". It matches the Rfam family "Archaeal small subunit ribosomal RNA", at positions 85 to 879 of the family's 1478-position model. The record is from RNAcentral.
ACUGCUCAGUAACACGUGGACAACCUACCCUGAAGAGGGGGAUAACCCCGGGAAACUGGGGAUAAUACCCCAUAGACUAUGGAUGCUGGAAUGCUCUGUAGUUCAAAGGUCCGCCGCUUCAGGAUGGGUCUGCGGCCGAUUAGGUUGUUGUUGGGGUAACGGCCCAACAAGCCUGUAAUCGGUACGGGUUGUGGGAGCAAGAGCCCGGAGAUGGAUUCUGAGACACGAAUCCAGGCCCUACGGGGCGCAGCAGGCGCGAAAACUUUGCAAUGCGAGAAAUCGUGACAAGGGAACUCCGAGUGCCUGUAAAAUCAGGCUGUCCGCCAGUGUAAACAACUGGUGAAGAAAGGGCCGGGCAAGACCGGUGCCAGCCGCCGCGGUAAUACCGGCGGCUCGAGUGGUGGCCACUAUUACUGGGCUUAAAGCGUUCGUAGCUGGUCUGUUAAGUCUCUGGGGAAAUCUUCCGGCUUAACCGGAAGGCGUCUCAGGGAUACUGGCAGACUAGGGACCGGAAGAGGUGAGAGGUACUCCAGGGGUAGGAGUGAAAUCCUGUAAUCCUUGGGGGACCACCUGUGGCGAAGGCGUCUCACCAGGACGGCUCCGACAGUGAGGAACGAAAGCUGGGGGAGCAAACCGGAUUAGAUACCCGGGUAGUCCCAGCUGUAAACGAUGCGCGUUAGGUGUAUCGGUGACCACGAGUCACCGAGGUGCCGAAGAGAAAUCGUGAAACGCGCCGCCUGGGAAGUACAGUCGCAAGGCUGAAACUUAAAGGAAUUGGCGGGGGAGCAC